AUCAAUAAUGAAUUUGCAUACACCUAAAACAACAUAUGUAUAUAUUUGAUUGCGGUGAAAUAGUCAAUUGAGUGACUAACGAGGGCAACUGCAGAAACGAGAGCGUAUGCCCCGCAGAGACUGAAAAAUAUUCCGUCCUGCCAUUUGACCGACUCAUUGAUCUCAUCCCACCAGUUCGCCGCCAGUUCUCCGACACCGAAGUCAAUCUCCGGCAAGGUCAGUAGCAUUCUCGUCAUUUCAGCUCAGAUCUCCUGCCAAGUCAAAAACUGUGAAUUUUAUCGAAUCACACCACUACGAAACAAGGAGGCGCGUGGGCCUCUACAUCAAAUCUUGAGAGAAGAAAGCGAUAAAAUUAUUAGUAAAAUUCAAAAACAGCAUUCUAUCUUCACGACCCUACAAG
RNAcentral lists this long non-coding RNA (400 nucleotides) under Olea europaea subsp. europaea. Lineage: Eukaryota; Viridiplantae; Streptophyta; Magnoliopsida; Lamiales; Oleaceae. The record is from RNAcentral.